AUGGCGUCUCACACGACAUUUUCUUGGAUUGCUUUGCAUCUGCUGGCUGUCCUCCUAGCGCCGGCGAGCGCUCAAGACCCGACGGCCGGGUUCACGGCCGUGAGCCUCAGCGAGAGCAACUUCCAGCUUCAGAAGCCGUACAACAUGCCGAGCAGCGCGCGGUAUAGCUUCGACGGCACGGUGCGGCGGAUCUGGGUGCUGUCCUCCGACGAGCCCUUUUCUCCACAGAGCGACACUAAGCCAAGAACAGAGAUGAGGAUGGCUGGAUACGACUACUCUUCCGGCGUGUGGCAAUUCGAGGGCUCCGUGUACGUGCCAUCGAGCACGUCGGGAGUGUCCAUCAUGCAGGUGUUUGGCGGCAGCGAGACGGCCACCACGUUGAUGCUGCACGUCUACAAUGGCGCGCUGAGGUACUACAACCAGAAGCCCGUCGAGGACAACGUCUACGACCGGUGGCUUCGGGUGAACGUGAUCCACGAUGUCGGCGCGUCGAGAUUCACCGUGUUCAUCGAUGGCGAAAAUAAACUGAGCGUCGGCGGACGCGGCGGCAACUCGCACUACUUCAAAUUCGGCGUCUACACGCAGAGGGACGCGUCCAGCCGCAUGGAGUCGCGCUGGAAGAACGUCAGGAUCCUCAAGAAAAACUGA
Molecule: ribosomal RNA, 648 nt
Filed under: Triticum aestivum (bread wheat)
Lineage: Eukaryota; Viridiplantae; Streptophyta; Magnoliopsida; Poales; Poaceae
Description: partial small subunit ribosomal RNA
Source: RNAcentral